This 273-nucleotide ribosomal RNA is filed under the name uncultured bacterium. RNAcentral's name for it is "partial 16S ribosomal RNA". It matches the Rfam family "Bacterial small subunit ribosomal RNA", at positions 524 to 796 of the family's 1533-position model. The record is from RNAcentral.
AAUGUAGGGGGUUUGGGUUGUCCGGAAUUACUGGGCGUAAAGGGCGCGUAGGCGGUUCUUUAAGUCAGAGGUGAAAACUGUCGGCUCAACCGGCAGCCUGCCUUUGAAACUGGAGGACUUGAGGGCAGGAGAGGGGAGUGGAAUUCCCAGUGUAGCGGUGAAAUGCGUAGAUAUUGGGAGGAACACCAGUGGCGAAGGCGGCUCUCUGGCCUGUUACUGACGCUGAGGCGCGAAAGCGUGGACAUCAAACAGGAUUAGAUACCCGGGUAGUCC